UGCAUUUGAGAAGGAGCAGGGAACAUGGGA
This 30-nucleotide non-coding RNA is filed under the name Rattus norvegicus (Norway rat). Lineage: Eukaryota; Metazoa; Chordata; Mammalia; Rodentia; Muridae. The record is from RNAcentral.